AUCCAUUCCUAGCAACAUGGAGCACCGCUCUCGAAUAGGAGGAUUGAAGCAUGUAAGCUGCCAUUAACAAUGCAAUUGGUACUAUUAGCCUAAUUUUGAUUAUGCCAUAAUCCAUGCUUGGUCAACACAUAUCUAGUCGUUAUCGAGUUAUUAUGGGAGACAAUCAUGGCAAUAUUACUAUUCAUGUUUAGGACAAUAUUUCUAGAAACAAACC
RNAcentral lists this long non-coding RNA (214 nucleotides) under Elaeis guineensis (African oil palm). RNAcentral's name for it is "long non-coding RNA (EGUI_LNC006501)". The record is from RNAcentral. Lineage: Eukaryota; Viridiplantae; Streptophyta; Magnoliopsida; Arecales; Arecaceae.